This 559-nucleotide small RNA is filed under the name Histoplasma ohiense. RNAcentral's name for it is "hypothetical lncRNA". The record is from RNAcentral. Lineage: Eukaryota; Fungi; Ascomycota; Eurotiomycetes; Onygenales; Ajellomycetaceae.
GUCCACAUUCACAGGGAAGCCUCUUCUUUCUCAUCUUUGUAGGGAUAUCACCAUUCAUCCAUGGAUGCCCCCUCCCCGGCCGUGAAAUCCCCCCAACAUUCCCCAAUUUAUCUUAUGAACUAAGCAAUACCAUCCACUCCAUCCAUCAUAACAUUAACCAAUUGCCGCUGGUCUCAAUCAAGGCAAGGGCCUCUCAUCUAUCCAACUGAAACCCACUUUCUGCUUCGGUACAGUGGGGAGUAAUAAUUAUACGUACACUAGCAUGUUUUCGCGUCAACCAAGAUAUCUACCACCUACUUUCAUCCUUGUGUUUAUUUCUCCAUAAUCAUGCUGAUUGAUAUUCAUGCAAGUUCUUGCAAAAUGCCAGGCAGAGGUCAAAAUAUGACUUCUAUUCUAAUUCAGUGUAUUCUUCUACUAUAUGAGAAUAAUCACACGUUCUCAUCUUAGUCUUUCUAUCACUAUCUUUCAGUCACUCUCAAAAUCAACCUACUAUCUCAAUCACAAAACUGUACAGUACAAUCAUAUUUUAAGAAGAAUGAUCUCAACACUUUUCAACCUC